Sus scrofa (pig) is the source of this 1149-nucleotide non-coding RNA. NCBI's taxonomy places the organism in Eukaryota, Metazoa, Chordata, Mammalia, Artiodactyla, Suidae. The record is from RefSeq and is a predicted model, not a curated record.
AUGGCAAAAAGACAAAAACAGAGAGGGAGUGACGGAGAAGAGGCAGAGGAGCCCUGGUCCUCGAGCAGACUCUGCCGCAGGGCCGCUGGGGUGAUGUGGUCUCAAUGACUCAUCUGUGAAUGAUCUCUCACCCGUCCCCUCUGGCUCCAGCAUUCAUAGGAGCUCUUAAGAUCUUAUGCUCCAUGAUUCUGUUCUCAGCGACACCCAGGACCUCUGGUGGAGGCAGAGCUGACAAGCAUCAGCCCCCAAAUGAGCUCCUCCUCAGGUGUUCGUUCCUCCAGCAGCCAAUGGUUUAUUUCACUCACCUGAGUGUUGCAAGAGCCACAGCCCUGGCGGAACUGUUCUCCGUAAAUCUUGGGUGAAUAGGAGGGCUGCAAAGGGCCUUCAGAGCAACAGUGUGGACAAAAGCGCUCAUCUCGUAGUCAAUGGAGGUUGACUAAAGAGCCUCCUGAGCAUUUCGGAUUCCUUCUGCAGGCUACUCCUCCUCUUCCUAAAUCCGCCUCUUUGGGCUCAAUGGCAACUACUAAUUCUGCAUUUAGGAGCAGGGUAAAGGACGGAGAAGCAGUAACAAAUUGAAUAUCAAUCGAGUGAAGCAAAAAUUCUUCCAGGGCCACUUCCAGACUAUGCUACUCUCAGUGCCAGCCUAGCAGGACAGAGGUAAGUGGCUGGACCAACUCCAUGAACUGUAUGCAGGCAAAGUACUUAACCUUUGCGGGCGGAGGGGGAAGGGACGGGACGACGACUCAGAUUCCCCUGUAGGCUACCUUCAGCUCUAAUGUACUAUGGUCUAUCUCUAUGUAAUUUUCAUUUAAAAGAGUCCAGGGAAAACCACUUGCAAUUGAGUUUGGUAAUAAAAUGAUGAGAAAUCGUACUCUCAUCACCACGGAAACCAAGCCUCAGCAUGAUGAACAUCACCUGUUCCCAUCACCAUCGAGGUCCGCACGUGAAGCUCCAUUUAUACCUGUGGGGUGCCCGUUGAGAUGGUCUGAUUCUGGACUUAUGGAGCUUUUCAAACCGUGGGAUCCAUGGUUCUAUCCUAGCUACUUGCCCUGGUUUCUCUGGCAUGGCGCUCUCUGAACCAGACUGCGUAAGCGGCACGCACCCACUGCUGCAAGGCGAUGGAGUUCUCCCAACCCAGAUAUUCUACUG